Eucalyptus grandis is the source of this 789-nucleotide long non-coding RNA. RefSeq lists it as uncharacterized. The transcript is spliced from 2 exons. NCBI's taxonomy places the organism in Eukaryota, Viridiplantae, Streptophyta, Magnoliopsida, Myrtales, Myrtaceae. The record is from RefSeq and is a predicted model, not a curated record.
AGCGUCAACGUUCUCUUAUUACAGGGAGGAAUGGAUUGAUGUUCAUAUAACAAUAUUUAUGGCGAGUGGAUACUUCUAUUGAUCAGAUUUGUUCCGAGCUGGUAUACGACAUAUUUACCGGACUCUAUGAAUUACAGAAAAUAUAGGUACCUAAGGUUGGAUGGAUCCUCCACAAUUAUGGAUUGACGAGAUAUGGUCAGAGACUUUCAACAUCAGAAUGAUAUUUUUGCCUUCUUACUAAGUACCAGAGCUGGUGGACAGGGAAUUAACUUAAUAGCAGCUGAAACUGUCAUAUAUUAUGAAAGUGAUUGGAAUCCAACACUGGAUUUGCAGGUGACGGAUUGAGCUCACAGAUUGGGUUGAACAAAGGAUGUUAGUAGGAAAACUGUCGUGGCCUCUUUUUAAUUCCAGAUCCUCAUUUUUUCAUUUUAGUUCUCUUAGGUAUACAUCUUUGCCACCACCCCUUCCAGAAAAGAUCCCUCCUUGUAUAGCAUUUAAGUAACCUUGUAUAUGCAUGCCAACAGUCAAGAACCAUCUGUGCUUGCAAGAAAGCGAAGCUCGUGUGUGCGAUCAGACGUGGCCGAGCAAGACUGCUGUGCACGGCGGCCACUGGAUCAAGAUCGCUGCUGCGAGAGGCUCAGCCACGUGAUGCUUGGCCAAACACUCCUCUCUCCCUUACGUGUGUUCUCUCUCUAUUUUGGUGUCCAUUUGGCCUCUAUAAAAACGUUUUGUGAUAUGCCUGUUGAUUUUGGAUUCCAUCUUCAAAUGAAAUUUCAGUCUUGUCUUUCU